Molecule: ribosomal RNA, 2819 nt
Filed under: Triticum aestivum (bread wheat)
Lineage: Eukaryota; Viridiplantae; Streptophyta; Magnoliopsida; Poales; Poaceae
Description: partial small subunit ribosomal RNA
Source: RNAcentral
AUCUGCAAUUACUUCCAGGCUGCUGCACCAGGCAUGUCCAGGCAUCCAAAAAAGGACGCCUGGGACCAGGCUAAUCAUCUUGCCUCGUUUUCCACCAGGCUAACUAGGCUGUUUCGUUGUCCAGGCCAGGCGUACUUCCUCUUUUCGUGGACAUCAACCAAACAUGCAGCAGGAAAUUCCAGGCAGCCCCCAGGCCAGGCGUCACCCGCUGUGGACACGAAUCAAACUGCCCCUCGCUCUUCGAAACAGUACUGCUCAGAUUGUUGACCUAUACGACCACAACAUAGUAGUCUCUACGGAAUCUAUUGCCUUCAACGUUACCAUGAAACCAGGUAACAGCCCCUACAUCAUGUCCUGGGAAACCCCUGCUAAUAGUAGUGCUACCAUUAGUAAAUACAACGAUUUAGUCGUCGUUGGCUGCGAUGUCGAGGUCUACUUGUUUGAUCAUGUAACGAAUCACACCAUUGGUUCUUGCAUGAGUGUAUGCAACGACGAUCUGGCCAUCAUGGAGAAAGAAGCCUCUGGGCAAUGCAGUGGCAUCGGCUGUUGCUCUAUCGCAAUUAAAAGGGAGCUGCGAGGCUUUCGGUUAACACUUGUCCGCUCAGAUGACAUCAAGCCGCAGCAAGAUCCAGUGCACCUUCAUGUCAAGGCUUUCUUGUGGCGAGAUUAUCUGUUUCAAACCAGUGAUAUCUCUUCAAGAUGGAUAAAUAUAAGCAAUCUUUACGAUCAGCCCUUACUCCAGGGUGCUGUCACGGACCAACCAAACUGUCAAAGUGCAUUAAGGAAUUAUGCUACUUAUGCUUGUGACACCAAUAGCCACUGUGAUUCAGCAGAAGAUGGAUACCGCUGUUACUGUUCUGGUGAAAGCCAUGUAGAUCCAAUCCUUACAUUCACAAUGGCUGCCGUGGUGGUUAUAAUCCUAAUCCUAGAAGAGGAUGUAAAAGAUUAUGUGGAAACACAAUUAUCCCCUUCCCUUUUGGGGUUGAGAAAGGUUGCUAUGCUCAUGUGAAGUUUCGACUAAAUUGUACAUCACAGAAUUUGACAGUCCUCGAUCGAGACACAGUAAAGUAUCUUGUGGCCAAUGUUUCAGUGAACGAUGGAUAUAUUAGUGUUGCAAACACAAAAAACAGUUUAAAUUCUAACAACGAGGAGAUUAGAAUAGUUAUUCCAGGAGAUGAUGAUUACUCAUACAAAGAAGACGACCCUCUGAGUGAUCUUUUUGAUUUAUCUGGAGAAUACGAUAUGAAGAUGUGGUGGCCGUCACAAAUUUAACCUGUCCGAUGGCUAUGGGCAUGCAAUACAGGGAUAUGUAUGCUUGCCGCAGUUUUAACAGCACUUGCCUCAACGUUACCCAUGGGAAUGGGACGAUGCAUCUUGGCUAUCGUUGCAAGUGCUCUAAAGGCUUUGCAGGAAAUCCCUACGUACCUGAUGGCUGCACAGAUGUUAACGAGUGUCUGUUGACAAAUAUUUGCAAUGGCACAUGCCAAAAUUACCCUGGAGGAUAUAGUUGCGAAAACUGCAGUCAUGGAAAAGAGUUUGAUCCAAGAAAAGGGAGAUGUGUCACGUCAACGAAGAGACGCAGUCUUCUUUUAGGUAUUGCAAUUGGAAUUGGUUGUGGCCUUGCUGCCAUAAUCCUUGUGCUAUGUGCAACCGUACUCGUCCGCAAGUGGAAGAGAGGCAUACAAAAGCGAACUCGAAGGGCAUACUUUAGGAAAAACCAAGGCCUACUCUUGGAACAACUAAUAUUGGAUGAAAGUGCCACAGAUAACACAAAGAUAUUCCCCUUGGAUGAACUAGAUAAGGCAACUAACAACUUUGAUGCCAGUCGUGUUCUUGGUCGUGGAGGACAUGGCACAGUUUACAAAGGUAUUCUAUCCGAUCAACGUGUCGUGGCAAUUAAGAAGUCCAAGCUAGUGGAGCAAACUGAGAUUGACCAGUUUAUCAACGAGGUUGCCAUCCUGUCACAAAUCAUUCAUCGCAAUGUGGUGAAACUUUUUGGUUGUUGUCUUGAAACAGAGGUGCCUUUGCUGGUCUAUGAGUUUAUAUCCAAUGGCACACUAUAUGAUCUUCUUCACGUUGAUGCAAGUGCUAAAUGCUUGCUUUCGUGGGAUGAUCGUAUUAGGAUUGCGGUAGAAGCUGCAGGUGCUCUUGCUUAUCUCCACUCAGCUGCUGCAAUACCAAUUUUCCAUAGAGAUGUCAAAUCAUCCAAUAUACUCCUAGAUGACAACUUUACUACCAAGGUUUCUGACUUUGGUGCCUCGAGAUCUUUAUCACUUGAUCAGACACAUGUAGUGACAAUUGUGCAAGGCACAUUUGGUUACUUAGACCCUGAGUACUACCAUACUGGCGAACUGAAUGAGAAGAGUGAUGUUUAUAGUUUUGGAGUUAUACUAGUAGAGCUUCUAAUAAGAAAGAAGCCAAUUUUUAUUAAUGACCAAGGUACAAAACAAAGCUUGGCUCGUUACUUUAUGGAAGGACUUCAGCAGGGAGUUCUCAUGGAAAUCAUGGAUGCUCAAGUUGCGGAAGAAGCAAACCAGAAUGAAAUUGAUGAUACUGCCUCAAUCGCAAAAGCAUGCUUGAAUGCCAAAGGAAGAGAAAGACCAACCAUGAAAGAGGUAGAAAUGAAGUUGCAAUUCCUUAGAACUACAAGAUUAAGGAGUCAACUUCCCCAUAAAAAUGAUGGAGAUAUCAAGUCAUUUUUGUGCCCUGACAGCAGUAGCUCUCAUGCACAGAGCAACAAUGGUUUAACACCGACAAGCAUAUCUGGAAGGUAUAGUUUAGAGCAAGAAAUUUUGUCCUUCGCCAGUUUGCCGCGCUAA